Molecule: ribosomal RNA, 253 nt
Filed under: uncultured bacterium
Lineage: Bacteria
Description: partial 16S ribosomal RNA
Rfam family: Bacterial small subunit ribosomal RNA
Source: RNAcentral
UACGAAGGGGGCUAGCGUUGUUCGGAUUUACUGGGCGUAAAGCGCACGUAGGCGGAUCGUUAAGUCGGGGGUGAAAUCCUGGAGCUCAACUCCAGAACUGCCUUCGAUACUGGCGAUCUUGAGUCCGGAAGAGGUGAGUGGAACUCCUAGUGUAGAGGUGGAAUUCGUAGAUAUUAGGAAGAACACCAGUGGCGAAGGCGGCUCACUGGUCCGGUACUGACGCUGAGGAGCGAAAGCGUGGGGAGCGAACAGG